This 468-nucleotide ribosomal RNA is filed under the name uncultured bacterium. RNAcentral's name for it is "partial 16S ribosomal RNA". It matches the Rfam family "Bacterial small subunit ribosomal RNA", at positions 28 to 507 of the family's 1533-position model. The record is from RNAcentral.
GACGAACGCUGGCGGCGUGCUUAACACAUGCAAGUCGAACGGAAAGGCCCUGCUUUUGUGGGGUGCUCGAGUGGCGAACGGGUGAGUAACACGUGAGUAACCUGCCCUUGACUUUGGGAUAACUUCAGGAAACUGGGGCUAAUACCGGAUAGGAGCUCCUGCUGCAUGGUGGGGGUUGGAAAGUGUCGGCGGUUGGGGAUGGACUCGCGGCUUAUCAGCUUGUUUGUGGGGUAGUGGCUUACCAAGGCUUUGACGGGUAGCCGGCCUGAGAGGGUGGCCGGCGACAUGGGGACUGCGAUACGGCCCAGACUCCUACGGGAGGCAGCAGUGGGGAAUAUUGCACAAUGGGCGGAAGCCUGAUGCAGCAACGCCGCGUGCGGGAUGACGGCCUACGGGUUGUAAACCGCUUUCGCCUGUGACGAAGCGUGAGUGACGGUAAUGGGUAAAGAAGCACCGGCUAACUACGUG